UCAUUUUCGUCCGCCAACCAUACUUUGGCUGUUAGUUCCUGAUACACCUGAAGAUGAGUUGUGUCUUUGAUCCCCGUUACCAAAAACAUUAAGAUCUUCAAAUAACCUAUAAGAUGGAAUGAAGGGUUUUUGUCCAGCAGUAGAGGAUGUCGUCUUGGGGCUAGGCCGAAUCUGUGCAUCCCCAUUGAUAGCUACACCAUUGCUUCCCAUAGUAGGAAUUGAGUUAACAUUCUGUACAGGUCUAGGACCUUGCAAAGGCAUGGAUGUGUUUUGUGGAGUUGAGUACAUAUAGGACGGUCUAGUUGAAUGAUUCAGAUUGCUAAAAUAUCCGGGAGUUGAUGCCCAAGGUGGAGGCGGAUAAGCAGAGUACUGUGGGAAUUGAGUCUGAGCACGUGGCGGUAAUUGUUGAGGCUGAGGAUGAAGUUCUAGCUGAGUUCUAGGUUGUUGGUUCAGUUCAGUUUGUAAAGGACAUUGUGGAAGCUGUUGCGAGGUAUGCUGAGAUUGUAAUGAUGAUUCUUGGGGAUACUGUGGUUGAGGCCGAGGAUGAGGUUGAUGCAGAGGCUGGGCUUGAGGUUGGGCCUGGGCCUGGGUCUGGAACUGCGCUUGGGUUGGGGUUUGAAAUUGGUGAUGAUAUUGAGGUUGGGACUGAGGUUGGGACUGAGGUUGAAACUGAGGAGGAAACUGAGGUUGCGACUGAGAUUGAGGUUGGGGUUGGGGCUGAGUCUGAGCCCAAGGAGCUACAUAACUGUUAAAGCUCUGAUCUUGAUAUCCAAGAUAAGCUUGAGAUGCAUAUGGAUUCCCUUGCGUGGUUGAGGCAACAGGCUCCUGAUGCGUGCUAUGAUUGGCUGAAGCAGAAUUUUGUGGGGUCUCGGGAUAUAUACUUGAUGACAAGGUCAGGCUCAAGAGAUCAAUUAUAUCUUGUUCUUUCGUGGGCAUAGCAGUUGGAGGCGGAUCUCGAAGAAUCAAUGCAUUGCUUGUGACAGGAUCCAAUGAUUCUCCCGUAGAAUUGCUAUUAUAGGCAGAGACCAUACCUUCACUUGUUUGCGCUGCUGGACUUGUUUUUGAAUGUCUGCAUCAGCACAAGCGACAACUUCAUUAGAGAAGACAGACCCAAAGCUGUAAAUACAUCAUAAAUCGCAGUUAGUACUUUUGACUUCCAAUAACAUUUAAGGGCAACAUAGUGCACUAAGCUCCCGCUAUGUGCGAGGUCCGGGAAGGACCGGACCACAUUGGAUCUUAUGUAUGCAGCCUUACCAUGCAUUUCUGCAAGAGGCUUGCCGUGAUUAAAUCCAAAUAAAAGUCACUAGCCUUUAUAUUGAGAACUACCCACCCCCCUUCCUUUCUUCAACCAUCUGAACCUUUUGGAAAACCAAAACGACAAUUAAGAAGUACAAUAACGGUCACAACUACAUAAAAAUUUCCUUCCUAUGAAAGUAAUAGCCUGAAAAUCUUGAUCUCUGCCAUGCAUCCACAGCUCUGCAUAAGAGCAAUGAGUUGUUUUAUAUUGGAAGUAAAUGCAGGUUUUGUAUAUUUACCUUCGAGCUAACUGGGCAAAGUCAUCUUCUUCAUCUUCCUCUUCAUCAAUUUGACCUGCUGUUGGUGCAAGAACUGGUGCAGAAGGUUUUGCAUCUGCUGCUGGAGUAGGUGGCUCAACUUCAGCAGGUUUGAGGCUUGGAUCAUGCAUUUCUCUAGCUGAGAUGUUGUUGUUUGGGACUUCAGUUGGAAGUGGAGAACCAGAAGCUAUUGCGUCAUGUUUAGCCAGCACCAUUUGGAGGUUAUCAUUUAAUUCAAGACCCUGAGCCAGAAGUUCUUCAUCCCUAAACACAAACCAGAGCAACUUUUAAGAGGUGAUGAAAAUAUGCUGAUAAAGAAAGAAAAGAAAUAGCAAAUACCAGCCUAGUUAACAUUUGCGUCAAUAUCUUUCUCAUGAACACACCAUAAGAAACAAAAGAUGGAGAAUUACCCGGUGGUGGUCAACAUUUGCAUCAACUUCUUCUGGUUAGAGCGACACUGGUAGACAAGAUCAACUAUAACUUCAUCUUGUACAGCCUAUACAAAACAAAGAUAGAAAAGGAUUAAAGAGGUUCCAUUAAUGAGGUGAAUGAAGGAAGAGUGAGAGAAGUUACUUACCAAGCGAUCGCCUGGAGUCACGGCUUGUAGCAUAUCAGCCAACAGAUCAGCAACUUCCUUCAUAGAAUUUAUGCUGGACAAGCUGCAAGGUAAAAAAGUUAGGACAAAGGAUAUGAUAAAGUAAAUCAUAACAAACCAAUUUAUAUAGUGCAACAACAUCGGAUCAAUAGGCCUGACAUGGCGUACGUCAACUUACCUUAAGUUUUCCAUAUCUGCUGCCAUGGCCUCGUCAAGUCUUGUUGAGGAAUUGCUUGGCAUUCCAUAACCAGGUUGAGGUUGUCUUGGUGCAGGAUGAGUAACAGGUGGAGUAAAAAUUGGAGCUGUAUCAAAUGAACGCUUGGGAAAUUCAACGCCAGCACGC
Molecule: long non-coding RNA, 2491 nt
Filed under: Nicotiana tabacum (common tobacco)
Lineage: Eukaryota; Viridiplantae; Streptophyta; Magnoliopsida; Solanales; Solanaceae
Description: long non-coding RNA (NTAB_LNC000172)
Source: RNAcentral